RNAcentral lists this ribosomal RNA (253 nucleotides) under uncultured bacterium. Its description in RNAcentral is "partial 16S ribosomal RNA". It matches the Rfam family "Bacterial small subunit ribosomal RNA", at positions 524 to 776 of the family's 1533-position model. The record is from RNAcentral.
UACGUAGGGUGCGAGCGUUAAUCGGAAUUACUGGGCGUAAAGCGUGCGCAGGCGGUGAGCUGUGUCCGAUGUGAAAGCCCCGGGCUUAACCUGGGAAUGGCAUUGGAAACUGGCUCGCUGGAGUGUGGCAGAGGGGGGUGGAAUUCCGCGUGUAGCAGUGAAAUGCGUAGAGAUGCGGAGGAACACCGAUGGCGAAGGCAGCCCCCUGGGCUAACACUGACGCUCAGGCACGAAAGCGUGGGGAGCAAACGGG